This is a long non-coding RNA of Peromyscus leucopus (white-footed mouse), 6452 nucleotides long. RefSeq lists it as uncharacterized. NCBI's taxonomy places the organism in Eukaryota, Metazoa, Chordata, Mammalia, Rodentia, Cricetidae. The record is from RefSeq and is a predicted model, not a curated record. The transcript has 2 exons.
AAAUAAUAUAAGUCUCUGUGUAUUUAUCUGGGUCCCAGUGGCUUUUGGACCUGAUGGGACAAAGGAAAACUUCUGACUACACUGGACACACCUUCUCAGUUUGCUUCUUAAAAAGUCCAGGAGUGAUCCUCUGGGGUCUGAGCUAUUCUGAGAAGUAUUUUCCUUGUCUCCUUCAACUUGAAGAAACUAUCACUUUCCGUUGAAUUGUCCAGGGGUUUUCAAAGUUAGGUGUGUUUGACAAUCAUGUAUAUACACGUAUAUGAGCUCCCAGGACAUGGGGAGGACUUAUUAAAAUUUAGAUGCUGGGAAUUUCCCCUCAGUACCAAAUGAGAGUUUCCAGUUGUGGUGCCCAAAGUACAUAGAUUGAAAAUGUUUCCAAGUACUUCUGAUGCAUACCAAAGUCCACCCACAGAUCAGUGAGUGCUCUUCCCAUAGACAUCGAUGUUCAAGUUUACUGCCUGGGCAGAUGUGUGGAUGCAUGGAAUGGUUUGAGAAAUGUUCCCCACAGGCUCAGAUAUUUGAAUAUGUAGUACCUAGUUGGUGGCGCUGUUUAGAGAGGUUAUGGAACCUUUAAGAGGGCCUUGCUGGAGGAAGUAUGAUACUGAGGGUGGGCUUUCUGAGUUUAUAGCUUCACCUUUUCCCCAGUUCUCGAGCUGCUUCCUUUGUGUGGAUGAAAACAUGAUCAGCCAGCUUCCUGCUCCACCACCCACUACCAUGCCCUCCUAAUUAUUACAGAGUCCUACUCUGGAACUCUAAUUAAAAAAGAAACUCUUUUAUAACUUGCUUUUGGUCAUGGUGUUUUUAGUUUCACCAACGGAAAAGUAAAUACCAUGCAUAUCUUUAAAAAAAAAGUGAACACAUUUAAUUUAUAUAAAAGGAGAUGAUGUGUUGGGAAGGAGGUCUUGAGAGGGGCCAAUCAGAAUGCUCGGACCUCCCCAGCCUGUGCCCAGUUUUCCCAGUCUGCUUGUCUUCUCUGGGUUGCACAGAAAAAUUGGCAUCCCACGGUUUCAGGCAAGCUACUCUGCAAGUGAUUGCAGGUCAUACAGAUAUAUAUUUUAAGGUGAAAAAAAUCUUUUAAUAUAACAAAUAAUUGCCUUUUCACCAAUCAAUUUGUCUUGUGACUGUAGAUGUUCAACAAUAGGAUGAUGUAUAAUAAGCACAUUUUUAAACAUCCAAAUGCACACACAGGUGGAAAACAUCAAGUUUUUAGGAAAGGCAUUUUCCCCAAAUUCUGACUUUUUUCCUCCUUCUGAUUUUCCAAAGGAGUAUCAAAGUCAGAGUUGAGGGAGGGAGGUUGGUGAAUUCUCAUCCCUAAUUCGUUCCUAGAGUCUACCGAAUGUUGGCUUUGAUUUGGCUAUUUUGAUUUCUUUUCGUGUUUCAGAGAGUUCUUACCUGAUGGGUAGGAGGUAGAGGAAGAUGAGGUUUAGUUCCUGUGUGUGGCUUGACUAAGCACGACAGCCUGAUUUAUCCAAGGAAGACGGCCCAGACUCCCAGGACUCAGAUUGUCUCAUAGUGCCCAGAGGACUCUAUCUGAGAUUUACAGCAUAAGUCGCUUAGGGAAUCAGUAAAGUGUAGUAAAUAUACAACAUUCACAGUCUAUGAAAGAAUUAAUUCUAACAUAAGAGAAGUACAGGCUCCUUGGAGAGAAUUUGGGGAACGGGACAUGCAGGAAAAGUAAGGAUGGAAGUGUUGAGAGCAGAAUCUCAGACAUACUGGUUCAAAUCCAACCUUACUUGCCCCUGCAUACAUCACUCCACAGCUGAUAAUUCUUAUCUAUUAAAUAAGAACUGUCUCUCUCCCAUUGGCAAAGGUUUGCUCCAGCACUUUCUGGAAAAGUACUUCACAGUAAGUAGCUAGUCAUGUGACUCAUCUGAGAAAAUUACGUCAUUGCCGCUGGUAGCAGAAUGUGGGGACCACUUGCUAUUCUUUCUAGGCAGACAUGCUUGACUUUUAACCGCUCUUGGUCUUAGGUGGGAUUGGCUUUAUUCACCUUCCUAACGCUAAGGCAGCAAAACGUUUUGAAGGAAUUUGUUGCGGUAUCUUAAGUUAGUAACAUUACUGGGGGAUAGAUUUCAUUUCUGCCUCUUUUCGUAGCGCGUUAACUGAAGCGUUUUUCUUAGUUUGUUAAAAUGAUUGUUUUAAAAAAAAGUUUCUUUAAAACAAGUAACGUUCACAGGAAACUUGUGUAGUAAUGCUUCAUUUUAUCACGUUUCUGAAACACAGAGGAAGGAUGUCAACUUGUAUGUAAAACUGUAGUUAGCCUUUAUGUGGAUGGCAUCUUUCUAAAAAAAUCUAGAAACAUUUCACGUUGGAAGCAAAACACUGUGCUCUCCUUUUGAAUCUGAGCGAAAUCCAAGUGUAUAGUAACACGUCAUUACCUCUUGAGAAAAGUAAACUCCACAUCACUAGCUCUUGAGAAAGGUGAAGGCAGUGUCUGGCAGUCAGGCCUCUCCUCUUCCUUCCUCUCAGCAGGCUGCUCGGGGACCCCCGGAGGGUGGUGCAGCAGCUUCACCCUUGUCGAAGCUGUCUCCUUGUGGAGCUGUGUUUCCUUCCUCUCCCCUCUCCAGUCCCUGAUCCCUGCAUUGUUCCAGAUGCCAAGCCUUCAGUCUGUCUACUCAGCAAGGGGAAGGGCAGGGCACAACUUUGAAAGAAUAACUCUACGCUCUUACACAGAACACCCGACACAAGACAUCCUGUGUUUCCUUUCGUGGACGCGACCCUCCCCGUAGGGACAAGGGAGCCACACACCAGGGUUUGUAUUCAGGUAGGUGGUGGUGUGGUCACAUGCUGCUGUGGAUGGUGCACACUGAUUUUAAGGGACAACUUGCUCUCUUCCCCCACACCCUGCCACCCCUCUCCGUGGGCUGCCACACCUGUCCUUUCUCUGCUGUAUUUACGUGGAUGAUUUUUUUUUGACUGAUUCUGAAGCCCAUGGCCAUCCUGACAGGUCCAUGGGUGUGAGUAUCUUUGUAUUCUCCUUUCUGUGAAGUACUUGCUCUAAACCCAGGGCCUGGCAGAAGGGCAGCACUCAAUGAAUGUUUGUAGCAUGAACAGAAGAACUAGCUCCCCUUUCAGUACUCUUCCUAAAUAAUCACAAGGAAGUAACUGGCAAAAUCAGGUUGGGAGGGCUAGGAAGAGGACCCAGUCAGGAAAGUGUGUGCCACACAAAGAGGAUACAAUAACACACACACACACACACACACACACACACACACACACACACACACACACACACACACACACACACACACACACACACAUGAUUUGUAUUCAGGACCAUCUUUCAUAUUUUAGAUUGAAUAAAAAUAAGUUCUUAAGAUUCAUAUAGUACAUAUUUGGCACUCUGUGAAAUUCAAACAAUGUCGUCUAAUAUACAAAUACCGUGGGAGAACAGAGCGGACCGAUGACCAACAGGUAGCUGGCCAGGCAGUGCUGGUUAUCAUUAUAACUAGCCCCUUGCAGCAACAGCAGCUAGGGUUGGCAAACCCUAGCUGGUGGGCUGGGUCCAGCCUGUGGCAUGUUUUUAUACAAUGCACAAUGUUUCACUGAACACAGCUCAGAAGUGAGUAGUUGUAAGAGUUGGAAGACUCAAAGCCUAGCAUAGCCACUCUGGCCUUCAGCCCAGGGUCCAACGGCACAUGUCCCAUGGACCAGGUUGAUUCCCAAGCUGCUUAUCAUCGGUCUGUAACAGGGAAAGUACAGAAACAGAUGAAACACUUGGAAACAUCUGUAAAUAUCUGCCAUGGAAGGCCAAGUUCAUAAUUUGGUUUGUGAAAAUUAAAAAAAAAAAAACAUUGUUUCAUGGUAGAUUAGGAAUAAAAAACAAACAAACAGCAACAACAACAAAAAUCCAACAACAAAAAGCUGAUGUAAAGCCUGGUCUUUCCCACUGGAAUGGAAUCUAAUGUUUUGUAGCGGGUUUUGCGGUCAGUAAGACAUGGUCGUGUGCUUGCAGAUGGAAACAUCUGGAAGCCUAUCAGGUGUGAAUGACAAACACGUCCUGAGAUUGCAAGUGACCUGGGAAGGUUGAUGAACAAGCACAUUAAUAACGUCAUGCUAAUGGAUUUCCUAUGCAGAUGAAUGGGCCAGCCACAGUUCACUUAUCAGCUAAUACAGUUGUAAUGUGUUGUUUCGUGCCUGAGAGCGGGCAGCCACCUUCAGAUGUUCCAGAUGCCCCGUGCACACGUGUAAACUAAUUCCCCUUCGAGGGAGGUCGAUGUAUUUUAAGUUGACAAGUUGUCCUCUCCGCCACCAACUUUCCUGGAAAUCCAGGAAAAUAGCGCUUCUACGACAAUCCUCAUGUUUUUGUCGGCUGUGCCCAUUAAAAACAAAAGAAAGAAAGGAAAAAAAAAGAGCAGACUGACUUUUUUUUUUUCCUUUCCUGUUUUAGAAUCUGUUCCAAGCAGUCAAGCCUGCCAGAAAAAACAGACAAAGUCUCAAGUACAACAAUGCCUAUUAUGUGUAGGGUGGGUGCUGGCAGCCUCUGAUUACUGCCCAGACAUUAACCCCUUUGCUGUCUUAGGGAAGAAGGACGGAGGCUGAAUCCAGAGGUUUCCAGAAUUCUGCAGACACUCAUGGUGUAAGAACUUGUGUUUUUAAUAAUGAGUACUGAGAGAGGGACUCACAAGUUACAGCGGCAUCAGCCCUUCCCUGGAUGCUGUCAAGACCCAUUCUUUCAAGCAGUCCAGACAGACCUCCUUGGCUCCAUCUGCCCUUCUCUUUGGGGGUUUGUCUGAUGAUGGGGGAGCAGCUGCUCCUUGCUACCUCCUCCAUGUGUGCUGGUCUCCCCUGUCAGAGGGGAGAGUCAAGUCCUGCUCUCCUAGAGGAAACUCUGUGGGUUCCUUAAGGUCACCCUUUAGUAAGGCUGGUGGAAAGAAAAAAAAAAAACCAUAAAAACUCUUGUGAUAAAUUUCUUUCCCUUCCCCACACGUCCUUUGCAGGUCAACAGACUCAGAUCUCAGAUAAGGAGAGAACAGUGCAGCUCCCAAGUGAGAGGGUGAUGCAAGCAGACUGUCCACUGGAUGCCUAGACAGUGUGGGCACACAUACUGUGCAUCCGUGUGGCCUUCUCUUGUUCUUCCCUAUUUUCUCACACACAUAUACACACACACACACACUCAUAUAUAUAUAAGUGUGAUUCAGUAGUACAUUAUUCGCCUAGGGAAUUCUGCUCCCCCUCACCCCAGUUCAGGGAAACACAGGUUGUCGUCAGAGUUACGAUCCAUGACCAAGUGUGUUGGAUCCAUGACCAAGCAUGAUGGAUACAAGGAACAGUGCUAACUUUCCUUCCUAAAGAUGAAUAAAGAUGUAGAGAGAAGUUAAUGUCCUUUCUUGGAAAUUCAUCUUCUGGUCAGCGAGAAGUGUAUCCCGUACAGAGGGGCGCGAGGCUGGGAGAGUUUGUGCACAGUGCUGCGGUACUUGAGCUGUGCCUUCUGGGCACGGGGCAUUCACGAAGCGGUGACAGAAGAGGAGACCCUUGAGCUGAGUAUGUGUUUGUUGUGCAUUAAGAGAUCUGGAUUGACCAGAGGCGUUUCAGAGGCAGGAGUAAUCCUACCAUCCACAGUGGGGGGAUGAGGAAGUGGGCAGUUCAUCAAGGCUGUCUCCACUAACCUUACCUUUAUGUUGCUCCCCCCCCCCCGCCCACCCCGUUGAUUCCCUUGGGUCACUGCCACUCCGUGCUAAAAGGAAACCCCACAGGACGGUCAACUCAGCUUAACUAGAUGUACUGACGAUAUCUAGGGAAGUCUCUGCAGAUGCAAAAGCAACCUGAACUUUUCGCUCAUUGUUAACUUAUAGGUAUUGUUUGCUUAUGAGUAACUGUUUCAGAGAUGAGAUGCCGGUCUGCUCCUGGAAGUGAGCCGGUACAUUGGGUGGAGGGCCAGAAGAAAUUGAUCCCAUUGUUCCCCAUCACUUGUUUGUCUCAUCUGCAAGCCUGUGCAGCAGCCAGGGUCUCAGAACUGAAAAGGAGUCCUAUUGUUCCUGCUGGGCAUUCGCUCUUCCCACCAUGCCAAGAGUGGCGAAAAGAAGAUGGAGCUGCUAUUGUGUGGGAGAUUGAAAUUUCAUGACUCUCAGCGGAACUUCAAGCAGUCUUGAUUUUGAAAAGCAGAAUCUUCGUGGAAUAUCUAUGCAGGGCUAGAAGAAGAAUGGAAUGAGCUCAGAGCCUCUCAGAAGUAUGAGGGGAGUGUGAAAAAGAGAGAGAGAGAAUGUAGCACUCUCUAAUAGCAGAACUUAAGACACUAGGCACACAAGCCUCGAUGAUGGAGCGACACCCGUGACCACAGUUUGAGAUCUGGUGCUGGCCUGGACCACUCAUCAGAAAAUACUUUUUCAGAUUUCUGUUUCAUUGUCUGUGUCUCAAACUAUGUUCUGGAAAGAAAUUCAUCUGUUGUUGAAAAAAAAAAAGUCCUUUCUCCUCAGUGAAAUUAAAUUUAUUAUGAAUGUUUUGCCUCUGAA